Otolemur garnettii (small-eared galago) is the source of this 107-nucleotide small nuclear RNA. The record is from Ensembl. Lineage: Eukaryota; Metazoa; Chordata; Mammalia; Primates; Galagidae.
GUGCUGGCUUGGACAGCACCUAUACUAAAAUUGGAAAGAUAUAGACAAGUUUAGCAUGGCCCCUGUGCAAGAAUGACAUGCAAAUUGGUGAAGCAUUUUAUAUUUAA